ACCGUCUGCUUGUGUCCUUUCUCUCUCUCGCCCAUCUUUUCCAGGAUUGACCCCCUUUGCCCCCACGAAUAACUAGGUCCCGAGGGUCGGGGCAAAAGGCAAGCCUGGGAGAGGCCAGCUGAGGUGUAGCCGGCUCAGCCCCCAGGAGGGCAGUGUGGGAAAUUGUGAGGAGAGAGCUGAAGGUGCAGCAGAGAUCUCGCAGGUCCGGAGACGACAGAGACCUGAAAAGGCUGCGGAGGAAAACCAUGGGCAGUGAGCAGAGCCAAGCCCAGGGGAGAGGUCACGUGCACUAAGGCCAGCAAGGCCAGAGCAGUGAGCACACACCUUGAAGCUCACAUCAUGUCACCGUGUGCCCCUGGACGCAAAACAGGGCUAUGCAGGAUUUGAUCUCCCUGUUGGUUCUCUGGCCUCUUUUCUGUUCUCCUGUUCACCCCGAAAGAGUGAGGGUGUUUGCUGUGUGAGGUCACAUGUUUUUGGCUUUUGUAAACCUGCUUUGACUCUCAGUUUCCGUUUGGACUGUUGCUUGACACUGAGAUUGCUGAGACUCUUGGAGAGAGCCUCCGUGCGGCCGCCGCUGCGCACAGGGCAGCCGCAUUGAGUAGAGUCACAUUCUCGCAACCGUCUUUAUUUGAAGAUCGAGUGCGGUCUGAGGGAAUGUGUGAGUUCGUCAGACCGGCACAGGCUGGCACCGCACGGGUUAAUGUCGACUGUCAAGCUGACGGAAUCGAGAGACACCUAAGAAAUUAGUGAAGAAACAAUUACACGGUGGAGCCUCUGACGUGAGCGCUGAUUGAAUCCGUUGAGAGUCUAAUUUGAGAGGGACUGUUGGGAAGCGGAACUGUGCAAAGGGAGGCCCAAGGGGAGGAAGCGGGUCACUGGGACUGUGGCUCAGAGGGUCCAUCUUGGUCCUGGCCCCCUCCUCUUUAUCUGGCUGCUGAGAUGAGCAAGGUGUCCUCCGCCUCGUCCCUCCUCUGUGGUGUUCCCGCCUUGCUACAGGCCUAAAAGGGAGGAAUUGACCAAGCACUGGUCAAAGCCUUUGAAACCGUGAGCCAAAAGGAAUCUUUCUUCCCUUAAAUGGUGUAUCUUGGCUAGGUUGUCCCUGCGGGGAUUUGCUGAAUGGAAUCACACCCACAUCUUCCAAAUCCAGUGUGGGCUGUCACCCGGGCUUGCCGGAAUGAAGCAGGUACUCCUGGGGCCUGGGCUCCCUGGCUCAUGAUUUUUUUUUUCCCUGCCAAGGUCAAGGCUGGGUGGCUCCACAGCAGGGAGUAAGGACUUGGCAAUCCAACUGCACCUGAAGCAGGCUCCCCAGCCACCCAUUAUUUCAAUGACCUACACCAUCACAGUAUCCAAUAGCCUGCUAUGUCUGGAUCCAGCAGCCGCCUUCCUGGACUUCCAGGAGCUGGUUGUUUUGUAUCGUUUUCAUCUGCAACAGUGGCUAUACUUCCCUCUUCCCAGCAUGCCCCGAGACCUGCCCUUCAACCAUCCUCUUGCUAUGUAGCUCUCCCACCACGAUUUAGGGUGAUGGCUGUCUCCCAUUCCUCUGCAAAUAGAUGUUUUUUGUUUUCGUUUCUUCUGUCGUUGAUUCUCGGCUGCCUUUCUGCAGGGUCGGGGUAAAUGUACCAACCCACGGUGUGCUGACCCUCAGGCCAGGGCUCUGCCUUUCUGCACAGAAGACUCUGACGUGCGGAUCAAACCACAAGGGCAGGGGUACCCAUGGGUCUGUUUCUCCCUGGCUUCUGAGCCCCUGGUGAGAAAGGGCUGGUAAGCAUUCCUUUCUGUGUGUCUGGUCUUAGCACAGCCAGAUGGGAACACAGGCAGUGGGUAGAAGCCAGUAUUCUUCUAUGCCUAGUGGUCUUUUGCCUUCUUUCGGGGUCCUAUCCGGACACCUCCCAGCUCUGCCUCUCCUUCUGCAGGGCCCAUUAUUCCUUUUCCUGACACCCUGCGAAGCCUGUGUGGAGUCAGAUGUGGGUGGAGAGACAGAGAUCAAAGGAGCAGCCGGGGAUGCUCUCCAGACCCGGGCGCAGACACAGGCAGAUGUGCUACUCUUCCUCACUGUUCUGGGGUGGCUGGGUUCAUCCAGGCAGCUCUUCUCUCUCACAUGUCAGUAGCUGAGACAGUCAGGGGGCACUUAGAGGGCAUGGCACCCACAAGAUGGCUCAUACGCAUGGGUAUACCUUGGUGGGCAGUGGGAAGGCUGUUUCAGUAGGUUAUGGGCAUGGCUGGUCCUCUCUCUCAUACUCUCUCUUUCUGUGUCUAUCAAUUAAGUAUAUUCUUUCAUCCAUUCCCUCAUUUGUAUAAAUCACAUCAUGCAGUGUGUUAAGAUACCCAGCACUAGCUAGGGGCUUAGUUUUAAACAUGGAAAAAGACAACCAGGUCCCUUCCAGUCUGGGGGAAGCACCAGGGCAAAGCCCUACUCAUAAAUGCCAAAUUACAGCCGCCAGUAAUGACCAAGGCAGGGAGAUGGAGGAGACCAGGGGUCAGAGGUGCUGGGGGCUGGCCUUUCCCAGGGGGAGGAGGAAGAGCUCGCACUGAACCCCAGGGCAGAAAGAGCUGGGGUGUGAAGGAAGCUACCGAGACAGGGAGCUUUGCGAAGAAGAGCCUGCCAUUGAAGGUGUGUGUGUGUGUGUGUGUGUGUGUGUGUGUGUGUGUGUGUGUGUGUUUGUGUGUGCAAACGUGCGGGGCAUUCUAGAGGCCUCUGCAGAGCUUACAGGUGAGGCCAGGAUCCAUGUUUGUGGUAGCUUACAUUCGCUGUCACUUGACUGGAGGUGAGUCAUCUAGGGCAGGGGUUUCCCACUCCUUCCUAAGGCUGUGCCCCUUUAAUACAUACAGUUCUUCAUGGUGUGGUGACCCCCCCAAUAAAAUUAUUCCAUUGCUACUUCAUGACUGUAAUUUUGCUACUGUUGUGAAUCAUGACGUAAAUAUCUGAUGUGAAGGAUAUCUGAUCCGAGACCCCUGUGAAAGGCUCGCUUAACCACCACAGGGGUCACAACCCACAGCUUGAGAACUGCUCAUCUAGAGGUUGGAGGCGUGCCUCUGAGCAUGUGUCUGUGAGGGUUUUCCAGAGGACUAACAGAUGGGUAAAACCCAGCCUGAAUGUGGAAAGAGGGCACCGUCCCAUGGGGCUGGGGUCUGAAUGGAAUAAAAGGAGGAGAAAUUCAGCCAAGCAGCAGUGUUCCCGUGUCUGCGUCCUGGCCCACCAUGACGUGAACAGCUCCCCGCUGUAGAGGAAUUUUAAUCCAGCAACGUGGCUGCUCUGGCAAGGGAUCGCAUCCAAGACACCGUGUGGUCUGGCACCAGGAGGCCUCUGAUCCUCCCCCACAGCCUCAGCUACAUCACCAGGAAGUUUGGCCAACUGUGGCAAAAAACAAUAUGGCAACACCUAACGCAGACAGGUCAACGAAAGCCUGUUGGGAGAAGGACUGGGAACUUCAGGCAGUGUCAUGCCUGUGCCAGUGGAUCUGUGUAAUUCAGGUGAAGACCAAGGUGGGACUGUCUCAGGGCCAGGCCCCGGGGUGCCUGAUACAGGCGCCUCAUCAACUUCCAUAGCAGCCUAAACUCUCUAGUAAAAAUUUCAACCAGGCAUAGAGGUGUGCACUUGUAAUGCCAGCAUUUAGGAAGCUGAGGCAGGGGGAUGGCGGGUCUGAGGUCAGCUCAGGCUGUAUGAUAAAGUUUUCUCUAAAAUACAAACGGAAAAGGCCAGGUGUUUUUCUCAGUGCCGGCUGGGACUAAAAUGUCUCUAGCAAUGGCAGGAUGGACACUUACUCUGACGGUCGAGGUUAUGGAUCCCUAGCUUCUAGACACCCAGUUCUAGAAAGAUGGUUUCCCCUUGAGAAUGUAUCCUCCCCACACCCACCCUGUACCCCAGCCUCUUGGGGUCACCUCUACUGGCUCCAACACAACUCAUGGCCAGCCACAGCCCAGGGUCUCUCUGACACACGUGCCUGAUUGAAGGUGGGCCUAAGACAAGCCAGUCCAACCAGAGUAGCCCUUCUUUAAAACUCUGCCUGGGGCAGACUCUUGGCCUGAACUUGAAUCUCAGAGAAUCAAAUGCCAAGA
Meriones unguiculatus (Mongolian gerbil) is the source of this 4056-nucleotide long non-coding RNA. RefSeq lists it as uncharacterized. The record is from RefSeq and is a predicted model, not a curated record. NCBI's taxonomy places the organism in Eukaryota, Metazoa, Chordata, Mammalia, Rodentia, Muridae. The transcript is spliced from 3 exons.